GAUGGGGGUGGAGCCGCUCGUAAUUGAGCUCGACGAGCUCGGCCCUCAAGGACCACAAUUGCAAAAGGUCUUGGAACGACUGACUGGACAAUAUACAGUUCCUAAUGUCUUUAUCGGGGGCAAGCAUGUCGGUGGCUGCGUAGAUACUGUAAAACUUCACCACAAAGGGGAGCUCUCUACUCUACUAUCAGAACUGAAUAUAGGCAUAAGGAGCUUGCGGAAGCCCUGAUAUGUAGUGUUCUCAGGCACUCUUCGUCUUGCUAUAUUGUUAGUUUCGAUUCUGCUGUCCAUGCGUCCACGGCCAUCUUAGUCGUGC
RNAcentral lists this unclassified non-coding RNA (316 nucleotides) under Hevea brasiliensis (rubber tree). The record is from RNAcentral. Lineage: Eukaryota; Viridiplantae; Streptophyta; Magnoliopsida; Malpighiales; Euphorbiaceae.